AAGUUCAGAUGUGAAAGACCCGGGGCGUCAACCUACCGGAAUAGCAUUUGUAAACUAGGCAGACUAGAGUACUGUAGAGGGGGGGUAGGAAUUUCAGGUGUAGCGGUGAAAAUAGCGUAGAGAUCUGAAGGAAUACCGGUGGCGAAGGCGGCCCCCCUCGGACAGAUACUGACACUCAGAUGCGAAAGCGUGGGGAGCAAACAGGAUUAGAUACCCCUGGUAG
This 223-nucleotide ribosomal RNA is filed under the name uncultured bacterium. RNAcentral describes it as "partial 16S ribosomal RNA". It matches the Rfam family "Bacterial small subunit ribosomal RNA", at positions 585 to 793 of the family's 1533-position model. The record is from RNAcentral.